Molecule: ribosomal RNA, 374 nt
Filed under: uncultured Megasphaera sp.
Lineage: Bacteria; Bacillati; Bacillota; Negativicutes; Veillonellales; Veillonellaceae
Description: bacterial SSU rRNA
Rfam family: Bacterial small subunit ribosomal RNA
Source: RNAcentral
CUUUUCGUCGCAUGACGAAAAAAGAAGAAAAGGAUGGCCUCUAUCAAAGCUAUCGCCGAAGAGGGGUUUUGCGUCUGAUUAGCUGGUUGGAGGGGUAACGGCCCCAACAAAGGCGAUGAUCAGUAGCCGGUCUGAGAGGAUGAACGGCCACAUUGGGACUGAGACACGGCCCAGACUCCUACGGGAGGCAGCAGUGGGGAAUCUUCCGCAAUGGACGAAAGUCUGACGGAGCAACGCCGCGUGAGUGAAGAAGGUCUUCGGAUUGUAAAGCUCUGUUAUACGGGACGAAAAAGACGGAUGCCAACAGUAUCCGUCCGUGACGGUACCGUAAGAGAAAGCCACGGGCUAACUACGUGCCAGCAGCCGCGGUAAAU